Molecule: ribosomal RNA, 234 nt
Filed under: uncultured Actinomycetales bacterium
Lineage: Bacteria; Bacillati; Actinomycetota; Actinomycetes; Actinomycetales
Description: partial 16S ribosomal RNA
Rfam family: Bacterial small subunit ribosomal RNA
Source: RNAcentral
GGCGAACGGGUGAGUAACACGUGGGUGAUCUGCCCUGCACUCUGGGAUAAGCCUGGGAAACUGGGUCUAAUACCGGAUAGGACCAUGCUUUAGUGUGUGUGGUGGAAAAUUUUUUCGGUGUAGGAUGAGCCCGCGGCCUAUCAGCUUGUUGGUGGGGUAAUGGCCUACCAAGGCGGCGACGGGUAGCCGGACUGAGAGGUUGGUCGGCCACAUUGGGACUGAGAUACGGCCCAG